This 1345-nucleotide ribosomal RNA is filed under the name uncultured bacterium. Its description in RNAcentral is "bacterial SSU rRNA". It matches the Rfam family "Bacterial small subunit ribosomal RNA", at positions 28 to 1381 of the family's 1533-position model. The record is from RNAcentral.
GAUGAACGCUAGCGGGAGGCCUAACACAUGCAAGCCGAGCGGUAUUGUUUCUUCGGAAAUGAGAGAGCGGCGUACGGGUGCGGAACACGUGUGCAACCUGCCUUUAUCUGGGGGAUAGCCUUUCGAAAGGAAGAUUAAUACUCCAUAAUAUAUUGAACGGCAUCGUUUAAUAUUGAAAGCUCCGGCGGAUAGAGAUGGGCACGCGCAAGAUUAGCUAGUUGGUGAGGUAACGGCUCACCAAGGCGAUGAUCUUUAGGGGGCCUGAGAGGGUGAUCCCCCACACUGGUGCUGAGACACGGACCAGACUCCUACGGGAGGCAGCAGUGAGGAAUAUUGGUCAAUGGGUGCAAGCCUGAACCAGCCAUCCCGCGUGAAGGACGACUGCCCUAUGGGUUGUAAACUUCUUUUGUAUAGGGAUAAACCUACCCUCGUGAGGGUAGCUGAAGGUACUAUACGAAUAAGCACCGGCUAACUCCGUGCCAGCAGCCGCGGUAAUACGGAGGGUGCAAGCGUUAUCCGGAUUUAUUGGGCUUAAAGGGUCCGUAGGCGGACUUAUAAGUCAGUGGUGAAAGCCUGUCGCUUAACGAUAGAACUGCCAUUGAUACUGUAAGUCUUGAGUAUAUUUGAGGUAGCUGGAAUAAGUAGUGUAGCGGUGAAAUGCAUAGAUAUUACUUAGAACACCAAUUGCGAAGGCAGGUUACCAAGAUAUAACUGACGCUGAGGGACGAAAGCGUGGGGAGCGAACAGGAUUAGAUACCCUGGUAGUCCACGCCGUAAACGAUGCUAACUCGUUUUUGGGCUUUAGGGUUCAGAGACCAAGCGAAAGUGAUAAGUUAGCCACCUGGGGAGUACGCUCGCAAGAGUGAAACCCAAAGGAAUUGACGGGGGCCCGCACAAGCGGUGGAUUAUGUGGUUUAAUUCGAUGAUACGCGAGGAACCUUACCAAGACUUAAAUGGGAAUUGACAGCUUUAGAAAUAGAGCUUUCUUCGGACAAUUUUCAAGGUGCUGCAUGGUUGUCGUCAGCUCGUGCCGUGAGGUGUUAGGUUAAGUCCUGCAACGAGCGCAACCCCUGUCACUAGUUGCCAUCAUUCAGUUGGGGACUCUAGUGAGACUGCCUACGCAAGUAGAGAGGAAGGUGGGGAUGACGUCAAAUCAUCACGGCCCUUACGUCUUGGGCCACACACGUAAUACAAUGGCCGGUACAGAGGGCAGCUACACAGCGAUGUGAUGCAAAUCUCGAAAGCCGGUCUCAGUUCGGAUUGGAGUCUGCAACUCGACUCUAUGAAGCUGGAAUCGCUAGUAAUCGCGCAUCAGCCAUGGCGCGGUGAAUACGUUCCCGGGCCU